Loxodonta africana (African savanna elephant) is the source of this 946-nucleotide long non-coding RNA. RefSeq lists it as uncharacterized. The record is from RefSeq and is a predicted model, not a curated record. The transcript has 3 exons. NCBI's taxonomy places the organism in Eukaryota, Metazoa, Chordata, Mammalia, Proboscidea, Elephantidae.
GUUCUUGCUGUUGAUUAUAUUCUUUACCAAUCUGUUUGUGUGGGAUUUUUGGUACUUCACUUGAAAAAUGAGUCCAAGGUACUGUGAUGUGAUUGUUUACUUUGUGUGGCCUUUCUAGCCAUGGUCUUAUAACAUCCACCCUGGUGCUUGGGCAGGACUGUGUGAUAGGGUAAUUGUGGCUCACCAAGGGGAUUGUUUAUUUUCCCUUCAAAGAGAACCAGUUCCAGAGCAAAGAGGAGGAUUCAACUCCCAUCAAGGAAGAACAGCCAAGAGCCGAGCGUAUAUUAUGGACCUGAGAUCCCUGCACUGAGAAGCUCCUAGAAGCAAGAGACUGAGAUAGAGAGAGGAAGCUGUAACCCUGAAGAUGCUUAAAUACAGACCAGAAGAGGAGUUUGGGGCUUGACACCUGACAUCUUAACACCAGUUCCUGUUUCUUGAGGAAGGAAGAGGUAAAAUAAAUCAGCGUUUACUGUUUCCUUCUCCAUCCCCGGAAGUCCUGAUGAAGACCCUCUCAGAAGGACUAGACCUCCUGCAGAAUGACUAUAUUGUGCCUCCCUCGGGCACCCCUGUCUGCGCAGCACCCCCCAACGCCAACUGCCCAACCGCCUCUCUCCUGGCAUUCUGCUUCUAGAAGCAUGUUCUUUUGAUGCAGAGAUGCAGCACACACAGAGUCCCAGCUGGAUUACAGACUUGAACCUGAAGACCUUAUGCAGAAUGACUAUUUAUGAACCACUAAGCUCAGUACUAAAGCAGGUACUUACCCCUCAGAGAAGGCCCUGGGGGAGGUUGACACCUGCAUUCCCCAGCGCUCCUGCUGCUCUAGAAGUGCCUGAAAUGCCUCUCUGGGAAAGGCCUUCAGAGUAGUAGGCUCAUGGCCCAGGUGGGAAUUCAGGCCUAUUUUUCUGUUAGAACAUCUCAUUUCGCUCUGAAAAUAUUAUUAUCCAGU